GACUACCAGGGUAUCUAAUCCCGUUCGCUCCCCACGCUUUCGUGCCUUAGUGUCAGGGACGAGCCAGUUACCUGCCUACGCCAUCGGUAUUCCUCCUUAUAUCUACGGAUUUCACUCCUACACAAGGAAUUCUAGUAACCUCUCUCGCCCUCUAGCUCAGCAGUUUAGAUAAUGGACAUACGGUUGAGCCGCAUCAUUUCACUAUCUACUUACUAUGCCACCUACGCAACUCUUUACGCCCAGUAAUUCCGGAUAACGCUUGGAUCUUCCGUAUGACCGCGGCUGCUGGCACGGAAUUAGCCGAUCCUUAUUCAUAUGCUACCGUCAUAAUCGUCACAUAUAAAAGCAGUUUACGAACCGAAGCCCUUCAUCCUGCACGCGGCGUUGCUCCAUCAGGCUUUCGCCCAUUGUGGAAAAUUCCCUACUGCAGCCCCCCGUAGG
Molecule: ribosomal RNA, 441 nt
Filed under: uncultured bacterium
Lineage: Bacteria
Description: partial 16S ribosomal RNA
Source: RNAcentral